GCUGGCGGCAGGCCUAACACAUGCAAGUCGAGCGGUAACAGAAAGAAAGCUUGCUUUCUUUGCUGACGAGCGGCGGACGGGUGAGUAAUGCCUGGGAAUAUGCCUUAGUGUGGGGGAUAACUAUUGGAAACGAUAGCUAAUACCGCAUAACGUCUUCGGACCAAAGAGGGGGACCUUCGGGCCUCUCGCGCUAAGAUUAGCCCAGGUGGGAUUAGCUAGUUGGUGAGGUAAAGGCUCACCAAGGCAACGAUCCCUAGCUGGUCUGAGAGGAUGAUCAGCCACACUGGAACUGAGACACGGUCCAGACUCCGUACGGGAGGCAGCAGUGGGGAAUAUUGCACAAUGGGGGAAACCCUGAUGCAGCCAUGCCGCGUGUAUGAAGAAGGCCUUCGGGUUGUAAAGUACUUUCAGUCGUGAGGAAGGCAUUGUAGUUAAUAGCUGCAGUGCUUGACGUUAGCGACAGAAGAAGCACCGGCUAACUCCGUG
RNAcentral lists this ribosomal RNA (486 nucleotides) under uncultured bacterium. RNAcentral's name for it is "bacterial SSU rRNA". It matches the Rfam family "Bacterial small subunit ribosomal RNA", at positions 35 to 507 of the family's 1533-position model. The record is from RNAcentral.